RNAcentral lists this ribosomal RNA (459 nucleotides) under uncultured bacterium. Its description in RNAcentral is "partial 16S ribosomal RNA". It matches the Rfam family "Bacterial small subunit ribosomal RNA", at positions 338 to 795 of the family's 1533-position model. The record is from RNAcentral.
CCUACGGGACGCAGCAGUGAGGAAUAUUGGUCAAUGGGCGCGAGCCUGAACCAGCCAAGUCGCGUGAGGGAAGACGGUCCUAUGGAUUGUAAACCUCUUUUGUCGGGGAGCAAAAGACGCCACGCGUGGCGUUCCGAGAGUACCCGAAGAAAAAGCAUCGGCUAACUCCGUGCCAGGAGCCGCGGUAAUACGGAGGAUGCGAGCGUUAUCCGGAUUGAGUGGGGGUAAAGGGUGCGCAGGCGGAAGAUGAAGUCAGCGGUAAAAUUGAGAGGCUCAACCUCUUCGAGCCGUUGAAACUGGUUUUCUUGAGUGAGCGAGAAGUAUGCGGAAUGCGUGGUGUAGCGGUGAAAUGCAUAGAUAUCACGCAGAACUCCGAUUGCGAAGGCAGCAUACCGGCGCUCAACUGACGCUCAUGCACGAAAGUGUGGGUAUCGAACAGGAUUAGAUACCCUGGUAGUC